AGUGGCUCUCCCCUCCAGGCGCCCUAAGUGGAAGCUCUCUUCUCUGCACGUUCACAAGAGAACCUGAGUCGGUUCUCCUGGGUUAGGCUAAGAAUUUGCUGGAGAAAAACUGCGGGAAGUUCGCAUCUCCCCUGGGUCUGUCAGGGUGAGGUCCCAAGGCCUGGGCUCCCGCUGACAGGAGGUUGCAUUUGAUCUGACAAGGGAUGUUUGGAGAAGGCAGGAAACUGAAGACGAUGCUGCUGCGAAGACUCCUCUCUGCUUCUGGAGAGGAGGCCUCUGAUGUCCUGAUAGCCACCAGAAUUCCAAGUCUCCGGGACACUUGCUGGCUCAGUUAUCCUGCAUCUGGCUUCCAGGAGUUCCAGGUCUCUGACACCACUUCUGUUGGGGCCCACAGAGAUGGCUCACUUUAUCUUGACUUAAGGUCAGGGAGUUCAAACCCCUAUUGUUCUUUCAAGGUUACCUUGACAACAGGGUAUUUGGCCCAAGAAGAAACUAAUUGAUGUCUUACUUUAACAAGAGGAUAUUUAGCCUAAAGUGUGGCUACUGUCCAUCUUGCCCUGACAACAGCAUACUUGGUUUAGGGUGUGAUUGCUUGAUGUUGUGUGUAUUGAGAAGGUAAUUAUGCUUGCUUGUUCUUUGUAUCUUGGCAAGGAAGUCUCUGCCUUCCCCCACUUUUGAUUGGGGUAUAUAAAGACUGUGUGUAAUAAAGUUGGGGCUUUUCCCCCAGUAUUCACCGGA
This is a long non-coding RNA of Mesocricetus auratus (golden hamster), 738 nucleotides long. RefSeq lists it as uncharacterized. The transcript is spliced from 2 exons. The record is from RefSeq and is a predicted model, not a curated record. Lineage: Eukaryota; Metazoa; Chordata; Mammalia; Rodentia; Cricetidae.